UACAGAGGGUGCAAACGUUGCUCGGAAUCAUUGGGCGUAAAGCGCACGUAGGCGGCUUAGCAAGUCGGAAGUGAAAUCCCACGGCUCAACCAUGGAAGUGCUUUCGAAACUGCUGAGCUUGAGUACGAAAGAGGAUCGCGGAAUUCCCGGUGUAGAGGUGAAAUUCGUAGAUAUCGGGAGGAACACCAGUGGCGAAGGCGGCGAUCUGGGUCGAUACUGACGCUGAGGUGCGAAAGCGUGGGGAGCAAACAGG
Molecule: ribosomal RNA, 253 nt
Filed under: uncultured bacterium
Lineage: Bacteria
Description: partial 16S ribosomal RNA
Rfam family: Bacterial small subunit ribosomal RNA
Source: RNAcentral